RNAcentral lists this microRNA precursor (93 nucleotides) under Drosophila virilis. RNAcentral describes it as "microRNA dvi-mir-9540 precursor". The record is from miRBase by way of RNAcentral. Lineage: Eukaryota; Metazoa; Arthropoda; Insecta; Diptera; Drosophilidae.
UGGUGUUUACAUUACAUGAUUCGUACGUUACACUGAACAGAUUUCUACAUUAAUGAUCUGUUCAAUGGGAUGUGUGAAUUAUGUGUGUAAAAU